This 77-nucleotide transfer RNA is filed under the name Pseudomonas phage REC. Its description in RNAcentral is "tRNA-Met". It matches the Rfam family "tRNA". From Rfam's summary of the family: Transfer RNA (tRNA) molecules are approximately 80 nucleotides in length. Their secondary structure includes four short double-helical elements and three loops (D, anti-codon, and T loops). Lineage: Duplodnaviria; Heunggongvirae; Uroviricota; Caudoviricetes; Vandenendeviridae. The record is from RNAcentral.
UGCGAGAUACUUUCAACUGGUAGAAGGAUGGCCUCAUAAGCCGUUAUGUCUCGGUUCGACUCCGAGUCUCGCAACCA